UGGGGAAUAUUGGACAAUGGGCGCAAGCCUGAUCCAGCAAUGCCGCGUGUGUGAAGAAGGCCUUCGGGUUGUAAAGCACUUUUAUCAGGAGCGAAACGCUGUCGGCUAAUACCCGGCGGAACUGACGGUACCUGAGGAAUAAGCACCGGCUAACUUCGUGCCAGCAGCCGCGGUAAUACGAAGGGUGCAAGCGUUAAUCGGAAUUACUGGGCGUAAAGCGUGCGUAGGCGGUUUCUUAAGUCUGCUGUGAAAUCCCCGGGCUCAACCUGGGAAUGGCAGUGGAUACUGGGAGGCUAGAGUGUGUCAGAGGGUGGUGGAAUUCCCGGUGUAGCGGUGAAAUGCGUAGAGAUCGGGAGGAACAUCAGUGGCGAAGGCGGCCACCUGGGACAACACUGACGCUGAGGCACGAAAGCGUGGGGAGCAAACAGGAUUAGAUACCCUGGUAGUCCACGCCCUAAACGAUGCGAACUGGAUGUUGGUCUCAACUCGGAGAUCAGUGUCGAAGCUAACGCGUUAAGUUCGCCGCCUGGGGAGUACGGUCGCAAGACUGAAACUCAAAGGAAUUGAC
RNAcentral lists this ribosomal RNA (568 nucleotides) under uncultured bacterium. RNAcentral describes it as "partial 16S ribosomal RNA". It matches the Rfam family "Bacterial small subunit ribosomal RNA", at positions 355 to 914 of the family's 1533-position model. The record is from RNAcentral.